This 88-nucleotide transfer RNA is filed under the name Candidatus Omnitrophota bacterium. RNAcentral's name for it is "tRNA-Ser". It matches the Rfam family "tRNA". From Rfam's summary of the family: Transfer RNA (tRNA) molecules are approximately 80 nucleotides in length. Their secondary structure includes four short double-helical elements and three loops (D, anti-codon, and T loops). Lineage: Bacteria; Pseudomonadati; Candidatus Omnitrophota. The record is from RNAcentral.
GGAAGUUAGUCGAAUGUCGGUUUGUCGUGAUGCUUUGCUAAAGCAUUCUGGUUAAUAGCCAGCGGGGGUUCGACUCCCUCAACUUCCG